This 451-nucleotide ribosomal RNA is filed under the name uncultured bacterium. RNAcentral describes it as "partial 16S ribosomal RNA". It matches the Rfam family "Bacterial small subunit ribosomal RNA", at positions 29 to 523 of the family's 1533-position model. The record is from RNAcentral.
AACGAACGCUGGCGGCAGGCCUAACACAUGCAAGUCGAGCGCCCGGAUUUAUCCGGGAGCGGCGCACGGGUGAGUAACGCGUGGGAACAUGCCCUGAAGUACGGAACAACCUGGGGAAACCUUGGCUAAUACCGUAUACGCCCUGAGGGGGAAAGAUUUAUCGCUUUGGGAUUGGCCCGCGUUGGAUUAGCUAGUUGGUGUGGUAACGGCGCACCAAGGCGACGAUCCAUAACUGGUCUGAGAGGAUGACCAGUCACACUGGGACUGAGACACGGCCCAGACUCCUACGGGAGGCAGCAGUGGGGAAUAUUGGACAAUGGGCGCAAGCCUGAUCCAGCCAUGCCGCGUGAGUGAAGAAGGCCUUCGGGUUGUAAAGCUCUUUCAGCGGGGACGAUGAUGACGGUACCCGCAGAAGAAGCCCCGGCUAACUUCGUGCCAGCAGCCGCCGUAA